Ixodes scapularis (black-legged tick) is the source of this 59-nucleotide non-coding RNA. The record is from Rfam. Lineage: Eukaryota; Metazoa; Arthropoda; Arachnida; Ixodida; Ixodidae.
UGGUCUAAUCGGUUAAGGCGUCGCCCCGGACAGGCGAAGGUUGCGGGUUCAAUCCCCGC